GGCGGUUUGUCGCGUCUGCUGUGAAAGCCCGGGGCUUAACCCCGUGGUGUGCAGUGGGUACGGGCAGACUUGAGUGCAGUAGGGGAGACUGGAAUUCCUGGUGUAGCGGUGAAAUGCGCAGAUAUCAGGAGGAACACCGAUGGCGAAGGCAGGUCUCUGGGCUGUUACUGACGCUGAGGAGCGAAAGCAUGGGGAGCGAACAGGAUUAGAUACCCUGGUAGUCCAUGCCGUAAACGUUGGGCACUAGGUGUGGGGGACAUUCCACGUUUUCCGCGCCGUAGCUAACGCAUUAAGUGCCCCGCCUGGGGAGUACGGCCGCAAGGCUAAAACUCAAAGGAAUUGACGGGGGCCCGCACAAGCGGCGGAGCAUGCGGAUUAAUUCGAUGCAACGCGAAGAACCUUACCAAGGCUUGACAUACACCAGACCGGCCCAGAGAUGGGUUUUCCUCUCUGAGGUUGGUGUACAGGUGGUGCAUGGUUGUCGUCAGCUCGUGUCGUGAGAUGUUGGGUUAAGUCCCGCAACGAGCGCAACCCUCGUUCUAUGUUGCCAGCACGUGAUGGUGGGGACUCAUAGGAGACUGCCGGGGUCAACUCGGAGGAAGGUGGGGAUGACGUCAAAUCAUCAUGCCCCUUAUGUCUUGGGCUUCACGCAUGCUACAAUGGCCGGUACAAUGGGUUGCGAUACCGUGAGGUGGAGCUAAUCCCAAAAAGCUGGUCUCAGUUCGGAUCGUGGUCUGCAACUCGACCACGUGAAGUCGGAGUCGCUAGUAAUCGCAAUCAGCAACGCUGCGGUGAAUACGUUCCCG
This 806-nucleotide ribosomal RNA is filed under the name uncultured bacterium. RNAcentral describes it as "bacterial SSU rRNA". It matches the Rfam family "Bacterial small subunit ribosomal RNA", at positions 574 to 1376 of the family's 1533-position model. The record is from RNAcentral.